Long non-coding RNA from Neofelis nebulosa (Clouded leopard), 1871 nucleotides. RefSeq lists it as uncharacterized. The transcript has 3 exons. NCBI's taxonomy places the organism in Eukaryota, Metazoa, Chordata, Mammalia, Carnivora, Felidae. The record is from RefSeq and is a predicted model, not a curated record.
AGUUUGGUGUGUACAGUUUGGUGUUAUGAGAACAGAAUGCUCCAGAGAGAGGGAAGCAAAAGUCAAACUGCUAUAGCUGGGAACUGAGGAACCAGAGGAAAUGGAGGCAGAGAGGGAAUAGCUUAUUUUAAUGACCAUGCUGCUUCUAGAAAGACAUAAAACAGGAUAAUCGCCAAUCCUUCUGCAAAUAUCCAGAAAUUCUGGACAAAAUAUACCAAAGAUUCUUCUGAAUGACUGAGGAGCUUUGAGAAAAAGAGAUGACAUUCUCUGGUUCUAGAAACAGAAGGAACUGAAAAUCAGACUGCUGACUGGUGUGGGAAAAGGGACGGCCUGGAUCCAGAUCUGGUAACACUGGACGACUACUGACCUCUUUGGGACUCAGUUUUCUCCUCUGUACAGUGAAGGGAAUGAAUGAGAGGACUGCCAAAAUCCGCCUCAGUUCUAAUAGCCCAUGAUUGGUAUAAGAAGGCCUGAGGAGAUGGAGAGAAAUGGAGGAGUGGCUUGUUGGUGGAGCAGUCAGAACAUAUACAACAUUUAUCAGUUAAGUUUGCCAUCUGAUACGGCGGUAGGUCAUGGCACCCCAAAAUAGUUACCAUAGUAACAUCGAUGAUCACCGAUCUUGAUCACAGGAAACACAGCUCACCAUAACAAAUGUAAUGACAAUGUAUCAUGAGAAUUACCAAAAUGUGACACAGAGACAGGAAGUGAGCAAAUGCUGUCGGACAAAUGGCACCGAUAGACUUUCUCGAGGCAGGGUUGUCACGAACCUUUGAUUUAUAAAAAACUCCUCUCUGUGAAGCGCAAUACAGUGGAGCACAAUAAAACAAGGUAUGCCUGGAACAUGUGCCAACAUCUGUUGAAGACUCUGUGGUUCCAGCUCCUGCCAUACUCUCAUCUGGAAGUCUGUGACGCAUGCACGCAGUGAGCGCAAUUUGCGCUUGAACAAGUGGUUAAUCUGAAAGGUGACUAGCACCAACCGUUUCCUGAUGCAAUCUAACUAGCAGCUCUCUUUCAAGGACAGCACACCCGGUGUUUGUCCAUAAAACAAAGUUUGCUCGGAUACAGUUGGCCAGGGACAUCUAGCUCUGUCCAGUUGCAGAUGGAGGCGGGACCUUCAUUCAGCGUUGCUGUCCUCAUGGGGCACUUGUUGUACUGGGCACUUGCACAGUUCUGUGGCCUGCAAGACGCACGAAGCCACCAGACGGUCAGUCAGCAUGGCCAUUGGGAAGCGUGGGAAAUUAUGGGAUAGGUUUACAAAAACGUAUGUGGGAAGAAGAGGUUGAGCUGUCUUGCGGCGGGGAACGUAGGAAGUAGGCUGACUGCUCUUGCAUUGUCAUUUACUCCGUGGUUACGUGGCAACAACUACUUAUUUAUUUUUGCUAAGCACUCCUGCUAGCAAAAGUCUUAAAAAAUGGCAGUCUGUGUUUAAUGGAAAACGAAGUAAUGAAAUUCUGCUUCUUAAGUAAGUUGAUGGUGAAUGUAUAACUUGCCCUAAAAUGUUUGGCAAUAUUCCCCACCCACCACCAGGCCCACCGUGAUAUUACUGACCAUGUGAAAACCAGAAGAUACAAACCUCAUGAAGAAGCAUCAGCAUCUGCUUCACAAAGGAGUCGUUAUUUUAAGAAGACCGUGCCCUAGGAUGACAAUUGAAUACCCGCAGUGGCAGAAGGUGCUUUGACACAUCACUCUGGCAAUGAUGACUUUUCGUUUAGAUCAAGAAAUGGUUGUUCUAGGUUAAUUUUGCUCAUUUUGAAUCCCCAAUUUUUUUGCUCACAUACGAAAAGACAUUUGCUAAUGUCUUCAUGCCAUUACCAGAGGAACUUCAUCGACAGUGAAGGCUGAUUUGUGUUAAUGGCACGAGAGCCUUCCAA